GGCGCGAUAGCUCAGAGGCAGAGCGUGGCUCCAUUAAAGCCAAGGCCCCUGGAUCGAAACCGGGUCGCGCGA
This is a non-coding RNA of Colletotrichum gloeosporioides, 72 nucleotides long. The record is from Rfam. NCBI's taxonomy places the organism in Eukaryota, Fungi, Ascomycota, Sordariomycetes, Glomerellales, Glomerellaceae.